GUGGCAGUAGAAUUAAUGAAGGGA
RNAcentral lists this microRNA (24 nucleotides) under Sorghum bicolor (sorghum). RNAcentral describes it as "sbi-miR6228-3p". Lineage: Eukaryota; Viridiplantae; Streptophyta; Magnoliopsida; Poales; Poaceae. The record is from miRBase by way of RNAcentral.